GAUGAACGCUGGCGGCGUGCCUAACACAUGCAAGUCGAACGGAGUUAUUAUUAUGAAGUUUUCGGAUGGAUUAAUAAUAACUUAGUGGCGGACGGGUGAGUAACGCGUGGGUAACCUGCCUCAUACAGGGGGAUAACAGUUGGAAACGGCUGCUAAAACCGCAUAACAUUGCGAUGUCGCAUGACAAUGCAAUUAAAUAUUUAUAGGUAUGAGAUGGGCCCGCGUCUUAUUAGCUAGUUGGUGGGGUAAUGGCCUACCAAGGCGACGAUCAGUAGCCGGCUUGAGAGAGUGACCGGCCACAUUGGGACUGAGACACGGCCCAAACUCCUACGGGAGGCAGCAGUGGGGAAUAUUGCACAAUGGGGGAAACCCUGAUGCAGCGACGCCGCGUGAGUGAAGAAGUAUUUCGGUAUGUAAGCUCUAUCAGCAGGGAAGAAAAUGACGGUACCUGCCUAAGAAGCCCCGGCUAACUACGUGCCAGCCGCCGCAGUAA
Molecule: ribosomal RNA, 493 nt
Filed under: uncultured bacterium
Lineage: Bacteria
Description: partial 16S ribosomal RNA
Rfam family: Bacterial small subunit ribosomal RNA
Source: RNAcentral